Molecule: ribosomal RNA, 497 nt
Filed under: uncultured bacterium
Lineage: Bacteria
Description: partial 16S ribosomal RNA
Rfam family: Bacterial small subunit ribosomal RNA
Source: RNAcentral
GACGAACGCUGGCGGCGUGCCUAAUACAUGCAAGUUGAGCGCUGAAGGUUGGUACUUGUACCCACUGGAUGAGCAGCGAACGGGUGAGUAACGCGUGGGGAAUCUGCCUUUGAGCGGGGGACAACAUUUGGAAACGAAUGCUAAUACCGCAUAAAAACUUUAAACACAAGUUUUAAGUUUGAAAGAUGCAAUUGCAUCACUCAAAGAUGAUCCCGCGUUGUAUUAGCUAGUUGGUGAGGUAAAGGCUCACCAAGGCGAUGAUACAUAGCCGACCUGAGAGGGUGAUCGGCCAAAUUGGGACUGAGACACGGCCCAAACUCCUACGGGAGGCAGCAGUAGGGAAUCUUCGGCAAUGGACGAAAGGCUGACCGAGCAACGCCGCGGGAGGGAAGAAGGGUGUCGGAUCGUAAAACUCCGUUGGUAGAGAAGAACGUUGGUGAGAGUGGAAAGCUCAUCAAGUGACGGUAACUACCCAGAAAGGGACGGCUAACUACGUG